CGGCAUCAAAUCGGAUGUCUUAAAGAAGCGAGUUUAGAAAAUUGCAUUAGUUCCUCCGCGAGCAAGCACAACGAGUACAUCCUUUUUUUUAUUUUUUCGAAUUUUUUUGGGUGUUGCCCUGUUCUUCCAGAGAUCGGCCGGUUAAGCGGUGGCUCUCCGGCGAGGGGAGUCGUAGGGAUGAUAACGCGAUCGAAGCUGGUGGAGGAGUUGAGGAAGUACCAGAUCGGAUCCCAGAGCAAGUGGGCCGCUCUGUUGAUUUUUUCUCCCAAGCCCCAGAUCAAGAAUCGGAAGGAUGUUGUUGUGGCUCUGAUAUUUGCCUUGUUCUUUUGCUUCAUCAUAAUAUCUUCCUACAUGUCGCUCUAUUUCAAGUGUUUUAGGCUCGCUGCUAUAGUUAUAUGUGUUGCCAUUCUUCUUCCAACGUACCUGAGAUUUUCUAGACAGAGAAAGCUUGCAAGGAAAAGGGAUGGGAGAUAUUCGUUACCUUUGUCAAUGUAAUUAGGAGGGAGAGCCAAUUAAUUCUCAAUACUUGAUUGAAGAGUAGAGUUAAAUUGAUAACUUGAGCAGCACAAGGACCCUUCCUUUUGGAGUUGCUAGUUGGAGUUAAUAGAGAUUAGAGAAAGUUACAGAUUCUUGUAUUUUCCUAUUUUUGAGUUCUGAUAUCAAGGUUUUAUAUUGAUAGCUGUAGACCUUUAUUUGUGACUGCAAUACACCUAGCCUACCAAGCCAAUCAUUUGUACGAUUUGUAUUUGGCGUGUAAGAAGAAGAGUGGAUACAUCAACUGGAUGAGCAGAUAGAAUUAAUGUGAAUAUGGUUGUAACUAAAGUCUUGAUACACUAAAUUUAAUACUCCAUGUAACCCUCAUACAUAAAUGAAUGGAGAAGAGUGUUUUUUUU
This is an RNA transcript of Dendrobium catenatum, 893 nucleotides long. RefSeq lists it as uncharacterized. The record is from RefSeq and is a predicted model, not a curated record. The transcript is spliced from 3 exons. NCBI's taxonomy places the organism in Eukaryota, Viridiplantae, Streptophyta, Magnoliopsida, Asparagales, Orchidaceae.